This 439-nucleotide ribosomal RNA is filed under the name uncultured bacterium. Its description in RNAcentral is "partial 16S ribosomal RNA". It matches the Rfam family "Bacterial small subunit ribosomal RNA", at positions 339 to 795 of the family's 1533-position model. The record is from RNAcentral.
CUACGGGUUGCACCAGUGAGGAAUAUUGCACAAUGGGGGGAACCCUGAUGCAGCAACGCCGCGUGGAGGAUGACGCAUUUCGGUGUGUAAACUCCUUUUAUAUGUCAAGAAAAUGACGGUAGCAUAUGAAUAAGCACCGGCUAACUCCGUGCCAGCAGCCGCGGUAAUACGGAGGGUGCAAGCGUUACUCGGAAUCACUGGGCGUAAAGGACGCGUAGGCGGGCCUGUAAGUCAGGUGUGAAAUCCUACAGCUUAACUGUAGAACUGCACUUGAAACUACGAGCCUAGAGUAUGGGAGGGGGAGAUGGAAUUAGUGGUGUAGGGGUAAAAUCCGUAGAUAUCACUAGGAAUACCUAAAGCGAAGGCGAUUUCCUGGAACAUAACUGACGCUAAGGCGUGAAAGCGUGGGGAGCAAACAGGAUUAGAUACCCCCGUAGUC